This 484-nucleotide ribosomal RNA is filed under the name uncultured bacterium. RNAcentral describes it as "partial 16S ribosomal RNA". It matches the Rfam family "Bacterial small subunit ribosomal RNA", at positions 30 to 507 of the family's 1533-position model. The record is from RNAcentral.
AUUGAACGCUGGCGGCAGGCCUAACACAUGCAAGUCGAGCGGAUGAAGGGAGCUUGCUCCUGGAUUCAGCGGCGGACGGGUGAGUAAUGCCUAGGAAUCUGCCUGGUAGUGGGGGAUAACGUCCGGAAACGGGCGCUAAUACCGCAUACGUCCUGAUGGAGCAAGUGGGGGAUCUUCGGACCUCACGCUAUCAUAUGAGUCUAGGUCGGAUUAGCUAGUUGGUGGGGUAAAUGCCUACCUAGGCGACGAUCCGUAACUGGUCUGAGAGGAUGAUCAGUCACACUGGAGCUGAGACACGGUCCAGACUACUGCGGGAGGCAGCAGUCGGGAAUGGUGGACAAUGGGCGAAAGUCUGAUCCAGCCAUGCCGCGUGUGUGAAGAAGGUCUUCGGAUUGUAAAGCACUUUAAGUUGGGAGGAAGGGCAGUAAGUUAAUACCUUGCUGUUUUGACGUUACCGGCAGAAUAAGCACCGGCUAACUUCGUG